ACUGCAUAUUGUUGGAGUUAAAUGCUUUUUAAAAGAAAAAUAUAAGAUUUAUUUAAUUUCCAGUGUUGGCAACCCAGUGUUGGGAAUACUGGAAGAGUUCCCACCUGGAAGUUAAUAAUAAAUAAUCAGGAACACAACCUAAAGCUGGGAGGGGUGAGGAGGGGCUUGGAGGUUGUGUCAAUCUAAACUGAGAUUUAAGAGGAUCUGCUCAUUGUCUCUCUUCAGCACCUGUGGAAGUUGGGAAGGCAAGCACACAGGUAAUCAUAUGUCAAGCAAGCAGUGUAUUCCCAUGGCAGUAACUUCCCUCAGAACUGAAGCCGGGGUCACAGGCAUCAAGCUCCUGUCUGAGACCUUUCAAAUGCUGCAGAAGAUGCUUCCUGCCCUAGAAAAAUUAGCUCAUCUCUCAGGAGGGACCAGACUGCAAAUUGUAGCACACAAACUGGGCCCAGGGCAGUGCUGGUGCAGGAGGAGCUGGCUGUGCUGAGGAGAUAAAGGCUGGGUAAAGGCUGGUUAAAGACUGGAUUGAGAGUGGAUGGAGGCUGGAUGGAGCGUAUUUUGGACCGCUGUGGAUUAGAGUCUCCGCUGUAAAGGAGAGGGGCUCAAACGUUCUCAGUGUCAUCAGUUCAAGUGUAAGCGAUGCCUCGGAGCCUGAGCUGAGCAACCGUGCCAUCCUCCGGCUGGGAUGCGCAGCACCGGGAGCUCUGCGGGCACCGGGAGCCCCAGCAGCUCCUGCUGCAGGCUCCGAGCCGCCCCGAUCCCGCACGGAUUUGUGGCUAUCACAGGAAGCUUCCCUCUGAGAAAUUUCCUAUCCGCUGCCGGAAUUUAUUUUUUGGAAUCAAAACCGCGGAAGGAAAAUAAAUCUGGAGGGAAAGGCUAUUAUUGCAGUUCAUGAGCUGAUAUUUUAUCUGAAAGCAAGAGAGAUAAAGAAAAGCAUUAGGAAAAAGUCACCCAGGGAAGCUGGAGCUGGCCUCGGCAAACACUGCCAAAUAUUUGCAGGAGAAUUCUGCAGAUCACCAACUGCUUAGAUCUACAAUCUCCCAGGGCAGGAAUUAAAACACGGGUUGGAUGAUCACUCUCAUAUAAUUUUAUUUCUUGGGCCCAGCCAGCUACCUAGAGAAAGAGGUAAAACUGAACAAAAACUGUACAUAAAGCAUGAACUGAACCCAAAGUGAUCCUGCAAGGCUAUGAAGUCUCUUCUCUGAAGACAGAGGUGCUUUUUGUUCUUAUACUGGAAUAAGUGCAAGAGUGUUGGGAUGCUUUUGCACCCAUAUAUUUGGUAUAGAACCAUUGCCUUGGCCCAACAUGAAAUAAAAGGCCCAAUUUCUCCCCUCUUAGUUACCCUACAUAUUUCACUGUUGGUAUCAUGGUUAUUGUUAGCCAAGAUUUGUUGCUUGUUUUUGUCCGAAAACUGUCAACUUUCAUCAGCCCAAACUCUGCUUUUUGCUCUGUCUAGGGGCUUCUUUCGAGGCAGCUAAUGAAGGGAAGAAAGCCUAUCUUCAGGAUAUCAGAUCUUUUAAAUAGGGGUUAGCACCUCUGUUUCAUGAUUUUCUAUCAGAGAGAGUCUGAGAUCUGCUCCUUUGGAAAAAUAAUUUCUUACGGACCAGAGCAAGACAGUAAGUUCAACUAACAAAAUGAAAGCUUGAAGCCUGCAACCUGACUGGUGUACACAAUUUCUCUUCUUCUGCAAGGUUAAAUUCACAAAAUGCAUAAAACCUGGAAACUGGUCCCUCUUUUGCCUCAAAACCUCUCCUUCAGGGAUCUGCAGCCCAUCUGAGAGCCCAAGAGCCCAGGGAUGUUUGUGGCAGCCCCUUGCUGGGACUGCCCAGGAACCAGGAGACAGUGGUGGGUUUACAGACAACUUGCAUCAUGCAACUCAUUAUUGAAGCCCACAAGAGUAAACUGGGAAGUUUCCAAUGGAAAUGAGCUAGUUUCCUAUGAAUAUUAAUCCUUCACAAGGUAUGGAUGAUAAUUACUGUAAUCCAAGAGGAUAUUCUUAGAAGAUAUUGCAUCUCCAGGGUGAAAAGGUCUCAGCUGUGACACUGAAUCCUAACAGUAUCAUGUUUGAUUUA
This is a long non-coding RNA of Passer domesticus (house sparrow), 2069 nucleotides long. RefSeq lists it as uncharacterized. NCBI's taxonomy places the organism in Eukaryota, Metazoa, Chordata, Aves, Passeriformes, Passeridae. The record is from RefSeq and is a predicted model, not a curated record. The transcript has 4 exons.